GAAACUGUGAAAUGAAGCUGGCGUAUGGUGCCAAAGGGAUUAGUCAAAAAGCUACAAUACCCUGCACCCACUAUCCCUCUAAACAAAGGAAAAGCCAUGAACUCCAAAGGUAAAGAAUCUUUUACACAGUUUUCUUUAAAUAAUUUCUUGAUAACCCACAAUCCCAAUUCUCAUUUUCAUUUGCUAUAUUGAUUUCUUGUUUUGAUUGUUGAAGAUGGAAAGCUCUAAAUCAAAGACACAGGUUAUCAAGCCAUUGUUCUUGAAAGCUGGGAUACCUUUGGCUCUUUCUGUGGCUGGUUUUAUUUAUGCUAAGAUCAUAUCAAGAAGAAAUAUAAUUUCAGAUAAUUCUUCUUCUUUGGAAACCAAGGUGGGUAAGGGUUCCCUAGAAACCAUUGAUUCUCAUGAGGUGUUUCUUAAUAAUUCUGUGAAAAAUGAUGAAGAGCAUAUGAUCAUAAGUUCCCAAGUUUUGAGCUCAAUAGAAAGUUCAGAUUUCACUCAUGAUGAGUCUAGUUUUGAAGGAGAGCUAUUAGGACUCAGAAGCAGAAUUGAAGAGCUGCAAAAGAGGGUUUUGGCCCUGGAAACACAGUUUCUUCAAUAUCAUGCCAUGAAAGAGGAAGAAUCUUUGCUAAUGGAGAUUAAGAAUAAGUUGGUAUUGGAGGCUGCCCAUGUUGAGUUCUUGGAUAAGGAGAUUUCUUCAAUGGAAGCUGAGAAAGAAAGAUUUGAGAAUCUGGUGGUGGAGUAUCUAAGAGUUCUUGAACAGCUUGAAUUCGCAAAGCUGGAAAAUGGGCUUCUUCGAAGGAAGGUAAGGAGAAUUUCCAGGAAAAUGAAAGAGCAAUCACGGGUCGUAACAGAAAAGAACUUGAAGAUUGAAGCAGCAGAAGCAGAAAUUUUGAGAUGCUAUGAUGCAUUAGAAACAAGGUCUAGCGUUAUCAAGAAAAUGGAGGAUGAAGUUAGAGAAUUGCAGACCAUUGUUAAUCAACUGCAGGAGGAGAAAAAUGAACUUCUGAUAAAGCUAAAUCCAGAAGAAAAUUCAGCCUCAUCAGCAUCAAAGAUUGAUGCAGAAGUUGUGACAAUGGAAGAUUAUAAUCAGCUUGUUCAUGAGCUAGAACAACUACGAAAAGAUAGAGCAACUGAAAUUGCAGAACUUACUUACUUGAGAUGGACUAAUGCUUGCUUAAGGCAUGAAUUGAUGAGAAUUCAUGAACAAGAGCAAGAAAUUGAGCAGAAGAAAGAACAUUUGGAUGCAGGUGGAGAGAUUAGAGAUUGUGGAUUGGUACAGCAACAAGACAGAUCAGUUUUGAACAUUAAUGAACCUUGCAUAGGUGUGGCAAGCAGUAGCCCUGAUCAGGGUGGUUCAAAAAGGAAAAAGUUGCUUCACAAGCUUAAGAAAUGGGUAGAAAGGAGUGACCACAUGAAAUCAAAGCUGGAAGAGAAAGAAAAGCAAGAAAUCAAGUGCUUGGGCAGGCUUUCUGUUUCAGAAGAGGCAGAGGAAGAUCAUAUAAUUCAUGCAAGAAGGUCUUGUUCUAGUGCAUAAUCAAAAAAUGCCCUCUUAAACAAUAAUCUAGUGUAACACAAAAAUCAUUAGCAAAUACCAACAGUUGUAUUGCAUAUCAGCUAUUAUAUAUAUAUAUAUAUA
RNAcentral lists this unclassified non-coding RNA (1636 nucleotides) under Hevea brasiliensis (rubber tree). The record is from RNAcentral. Lineage: Eukaryota; Viridiplantae; Streptophyta; Magnoliopsida; Malpighiales; Euphorbiaceae.